Notothenia coriiceps (black rockcod) is the source of this 511-nucleotide long non-coding RNA. RefSeq lists it as uncharacterized. The transcript has 3 exons. The record is from RefSeq and is a predicted model, not a curated record. NCBI's taxonomy places the organism in Eukaryota, Metazoa, Chordata, Actinopteri, Perciformes, Nototheniidae.
CAAUGUCUGAGAUCCUCAUCCUUCAUCUAGACUGAAGUCAGAUAGCCUGCAAAGCCUUAUCAGCGGCUAAGACCACCACGAGAUACAUGCGGGCUCCCACUAUUUUAUAUCUUUGAAGGAAUGUCUCCGGUGUAGGAGGUGAGAUAUACACACAAAGACACACACACUGUUGGCAGUGCAUCCGGUGGGUGCCAGGUACUAGCCGGGGUUUAUCAUGCUGCUUGGACAUAUGGUUUCUGCGGCAAAUCUGAUUAAUAUGGGAUAGCCAGGAGUCCAGCGUACAGCAGAGGACAGACUGCACCAGGACAUCCCCACUGGUCCGGCCUCCCCCUCACAACACACCAGGCCUCCAUCCAGCACGGCUAAAAACAGACCGGUCGUCAGGGACUCAGAUGGUCCAAGCGGUGGGAGACCAAUGCUGCACAGAUUUAGAAGGUAUUUGGUCAUAUUCAAAGGAUUGAACCCAACACCUGAGGAUCGGGCUGGAUGGCAAGUUAAGGGAUGACCAAAG